UUAAAAUGAGAGUUUGAUCCUGGCUCAGGACGAACGCUGGCGGCGUGCCUAAUACAUGCAAGUCGAGCGAGCGGAACUAACAGAUUUACUUCGGUAAUGACGUUAGGAAAGCGAGCGGCGGAUGGGUGAGUAACACGUGGGGAACCUGCCCCAUAGUCUGGGAUACCACUUGGAAACAGGUGCUAAUACCGGAUAAGAAAGCAGAUCGCAUGAUCAGCUUUUAAAAGGCGGCGUAAGCUGUCGCUAUGGGAUGGCCCCGCGGUGCAUUAGCUAGUUGGUAAGGUAAAGGCUUACCAAGGCGAUGAUGCAUAGCCGAGUUGAGAGACUGAUCGGCCACAUUGGGACUGAGACACGGCCCAAACUCCUACGGGAGGCAGCAGUAGGGAAUCUUCCACAAUGGACGCAAGUCUGAUGGAGCAACGCCGCGUGAGUGAAGAAGGUUUUCGGAUCGUAAAGCUCUGUUGUUGGUGAAGAAGGAUAGAGGUAGUAACUGGCCUUUAUUUGACGGUAAUCAACCAGAAAGUCACGGCUAACUACGUGCCAGCAGCCGCGGUAAUACGUAGGUGGCAAGCGUUGUCCGGAUUUAUUGGGCGUAAAGCGAGCGCAGGCGGAAGAAUAAGUCUGAUGUGAAAGCCCUCGGCUUAACCGAGGAACUGCAUCGGAAACUGUUUUUCUUGAGUGCAGAAGAGGAGAGUGGAACUCCAUGUGUAGCGGUGGAAUGCGUAGAUAUAUGGAAGAACACCAGUGGCGAAGGCGGCUCUCUGGUCUGCAACUGACGCUGAGGCUCGAAAGCAUGGGUAGCGAACAGGAUUAGAUACCCUGGUAGUCCAUGCCGUAAACGAUGAGUGCUAAGUGUUGGGAGGUUUCCGCCUCUCAGUGCUGCAGCUAACGCAUUAAGCACUCCGCCUGGGGAGUACGACCGCAAGGUUGAAACUCAAAGGAAUUGACGGGGGCCCGCACAAGCGGUGGAGCAUGUGGUUUAAUUCGAAGCAACGCGAAGAACCUUACCAGGUCUUGACAUCUAGUGCCAUUUGUAGAGAUACAAAGUUCCCUUCGGGGACGCUAAGACAGGUGGUGCAUGGCUGUCGUCAGCUCGUGUCGUGAGAUGUUGGGUUAAGUCCCGCAACGAGCGCAACCCUUGUUAUUAGUUGCCAGCAUUAAGUUGGGCACUCUAAUGAGACUGCCGGUGACAAACCGGAGGAAGGUGGGGAUGACGUCAAGUCAUCAUGCCCCUUAUGACCUGGGCUACACACGUGCUACAAUGGGCAGUACAACGAGAAGCGAGCCUGCGAAGGCAAGCGAAUCUCUGAAAGCUGUUCUCAGUUCGGACUGCAGUCUGCAACUCGACUGCACGAAGCUGGAAUCGCUAGUAAUCGCGGAUCAGCACGCCGCGGUGAAUACGUUCCCGGGCCUUGUACACACCGCCCGUCACACCAUGGGAGUCUGCAAUGCCCAAAGCCGGUGGCCUAACCUUCGGGAAGGAGCCGUCUAAGGCAGGGCAGAUGACUGGGGUGAAGUCGUAACAAGGUAGCCGUAGGAGAACCUGCGGCUGGAUCACCUCCUUUCUAAGGAA
This 1573-nucleotide ribosomal RNA is filed under the name Lactobacillus crispatus. RNAcentral describes it as "bacterial SSU rRNA". It matches the Rfam family "Bacterial small subunit ribosomal RNA". The record is from RNAcentral. Lineage: Bacteria; Bacillati; Bacillota; Bacilli; Lactobacillales; Lactobacillaceae.